UGAGGAAUAUUGGUCAAUGGGCGAGAGCCUGAACCAGCCAAGUCGCGUGAAGGAAGAAGGUUCUAUGGAUUGUAAACUUCUUUUGUAAGGGAAUAAAAAAGAGUACGUGUACUCUAUUGUAUGUACUUUACGAAUAAGGAUCGGCUAACUCCGUGCCAGCAGCCGCGGUAAUACGGAGGAUCCGAGCGUUAUCCGGAUUUAUUGGGUUUAAAGGGGGCGUAGGCGGACUUAUAAGUCAGCGGUGAAAGUUUGCAGAUUAACUGUAAAAUUGCCGUUGAAACGGUUAGUCUUGAGUGUAAAUGAGGUAGGCGGAAUGUGUUGUGUAGCGGUGAAAUGCUUAGAUAUAACACAGAACACCAAUUGCGAAGGCAGCUUACUGGGAUACAACUGACGCUGAGGCACGAAAGCGUGGGGAUCAAACA
Molecule: ribosomal RNA, 422 nt
Filed under: uncultured prokaryote
Description: bacterial SSU rRNA
Rfam family: Bacterial small subunit ribosomal RNA
Source: RNAcentral